UACGGAGGGAGCUAGCGUUAUUCGGAAUUACUGGGCGUAAAGCGCACGUAGGCGGCUAUCCAAGUCAGAGGUGAAAGCCUGGAGCUCAACUCCAGAACUGCCUUUGAAACUAGAUGGCUUGAAUCCAGGAGAGGUGAGUGGAAUUCCGAGUGUAGAGGUGAAAUUCGUAGAUAUUCGGAAGAACACCAGUGGCGAAGGCGGCUCACUGGACUGGUAUUGACGCUGAGGCGCGAAAGCUAGGGGAGCAAACGGG
RNAcentral lists this ribosomal RNA (253 nucleotides) under uncultured bacterium. RNAcentral describes it as "partial 16S ribosomal RNA". It matches the Rfam family "Bacterial small subunit ribosomal RNA", at positions 524 to 776 of the family's 1533-position model. The record is from RNAcentral.